GACGAACGCUGGCGGCGUGCUUAACACAUUCAAGUCGAACGGAAAGGCCCUGCUUUUGUGGGGUGCUCGAGUGGCGAACGGGUGAGUAACACGUGAGUAACCUGCCCUUGACUUUGGGAUAACUUCAGGAAACUGGGGCUAAUACCGGAUAGGAGCUCCUGCUGCAUGGUGGGGGUUGGAAAGUUUCGGCGGUUGGGGAUGGACUCGCGGCUUAUCAGCUUGUUGGUGGGGUAGUGGCUUACCAAGGCUUUGACGGGUAGCCGGCCUGAGAGGGUGACCGGCCACAUUGGGACUGAGAUACGGCCCAGACUCCUACGGGAGGCAGCAGUGGGGAAUAUUGCACAAUGGGCGGAAGCCUGAUGCAGCAACGCCGCGUGCGGGAUGACGGCCUUCGGGUUGUAAUCCGCUUUCGCCUGUGACGAAGCGUGAGUGACGGUAAUGGGUAAAGAAGCACCGGCUAACUACGUG
This 468-nucleotide ribosomal RNA is filed under the name uncultured bacterium. RNAcentral's name for it is "partial 16S ribosomal RNA". It matches the Rfam family "Bacterial small subunit ribosomal RNA", at positions 28 to 507 of the family's 1533-position model. The record is from RNAcentral.